AUAAAGAAAGAUGUAAAGAUAUAUGAAGGGUGAGAUAAGAUAAAACUUACAGAAUUGUUUAACAAAAGAGUUCAAAAUAAAAACAUGGCCUAGAUCUUAGACAAUCUGUAUGGGUAUAAUUAUGGUUUAGCCAUUACACUUUACAAUGAUUGAAAACUAUAUAGGUAGCUGGAAACCUAAAGGUAAUUAGCUAAUGUGGUCCAAGAAAUAAAAUUACAUGUAGUGGGGGUUCUAAUCUUGUUACUUCCAGGUAUUUUACUACCAAAUCUUUGUAUGCUGAACCAGAACUUAGGAAGCGUUUGUUUCGUGAAAAUGUAACGUAAUCGAACGGGCGUUAAACGAUAUCGUUACACAUGUUUGUUUCAACCAUCUCCGUAAUCUGAUUCCACGUAAUCGGAUACCAGCUAGUAAACAUCCCAUUACCCCCCUCCCUCCCCGGUAUCACAACAUUUACGCCAUCCCCGACACUUCUCGCGAUAACGUUGCCCACUUCUUUUCCCCAUCGCUCCAUCUCGCGUAGCGCCUAGUGCGCCGCCUGCGCCGCUCCUCGCGAGCUGCUUCAUCGGUGACCACAUGCCACCGCGGUGAGCCUGUGCUCCUUCCCCCUCUCACUCCCUCUGUCCCUCGUCCGCAUACAAGAGCAAUUUAUUUCCCAUCCUUCUCUCAAAUCCUC
RNAcentral lists this long non-coding RNA (673 nucleotides) under Setaria viridis. Its description in RNAcentral is "long non-coding RNA (SVIR_LNC007274)". The record is from RNAcentral. Lineage: Eukaryota; Viridiplantae; Streptophyta; Magnoliopsida; Poales; Poaceae.